GCCUGGUUGGCUGAGUUGGUAAAGCAUGGGGCUUUUGAUCCCAGGGUCAUGAGUUCGAGCCCCAUGUUGAGCA
Molecule: non-coding RNA, 73 nt
Organism: Hyaena hyaena (striped hyena)
Lineage: Eukaryota; Metazoa; Chordata; Mammalia; Carnivora; Hyaenidae
Source: the annotation of a RefSeq genome assembly